RNAcentral lists this ribosomal RNA (694 nucleotides) under uncultured bacterium. RNAcentral's name for it is "bacterial SSU rRNA". It matches the Rfam family "Bacterial small subunit ribosomal RNA", at positions 32 to 715 of the family's 1533-position model. The record is from RNAcentral.
AACGCUAGCUACAGGCUUAACACAUGCAAGUCGAGGGGCAGCGGGAUUGAAGCUUGCUUCAAUUGCCGGCGACCGGCGCACGGGUGAGUAACGCGUAUCCAACCUUCCGUACACUCAGGGAUAGCCUUUCGAAAGAAAGAUUAAUACCUGAUGGUAUGAUGAGAUUGCAUGAUAGCAUCAUUAAAGAUUUAUCGGUGUACGAUGGGGAUGCGUUCCAUUAGGUAGUAGGCGGGGUAACGGCCCACCUAGCCAACGAUGGAUAGGGGUUCUGAGAGGAAGGUCCCCCACAUUGGAACUGAGACACGGUCCAAACUCCUACGGGAGGCAGCAGUGAGGAAUAUUGGUCAAUGGCCGAGAGUCUGAACCAGCCAAGUAGCGUGAAGGAUGAAGGUCCUACGGAUUGUAAACUUCUUUUAUAAGGGAAUAAACCCUCCCACGUGUGGGAGCUUGUAUGUACCUUAUGAAUAAGCAUCGGCUAACUCCGUGCCAGCAGCCGCGGUAAUACGGAGGAUGCGAGCGUUAUCCGGAUUUAUUGGGUUUAAAGGGAGCGCAGACGGGUCGUUAAGUCAGCUGUGAAAGUUUGGGGCUCAACCUUAAAAUUGCAGUUGAUACUGGCGUCCUUGAGUGCGGUUGAGGUGUGCGGAAUUCGUGGUGUAGCGGUGAAAUGCUUAGAUAUCACGAAGAACUCCGAUUG